RNAcentral lists this ribosomal RNA (446 nucleotides) under uncultured bacterium. RNAcentral's name for it is "partial 16S ribosomal RNA". It matches the Rfam family "Bacterial small subunit ribosomal RNA", at positions 338 to 795 of the family's 1533-position model. The record is from RNAcentral.
CCUACGGGAGGCAGCAGUCGAGAAUCAUUCACAAUGGGGGAAACCCUGAUGGUGCGACGCCGCGUGGGGGAAUGAAGGUCUUCGGAUUGUAAACCCCUGUCAUGUGGGAGCAAAUUAAAAAGAUAGUACCACAAGAGGAAGAGACGGCUAACUCUGUGCCAGCAGCCGCGGUAAUACAGAGGUCUCAAGCGUUGUUCGGAAUCACUGGGCGUAAGGCGUGCGUAGGCUGUUUCGUAAGUCGUGUGUGAAAGGCGCGGGCUCAACCCGCGGACGGCACAUGAUACUGCGAGACUAGAGUAAUGGAGGGGUAACCGGAAUUCUCGGUGUAGCAGUGAAAUGCGUAGAUAUCGAGAGGAACACUCGUGGCGAAGGCGGGUUCCUGGACAUUAACUGACGCUGAGGCACGAAGGCCAGGGGAGCGAAAGGGAUUAGAUACCCCAGUAGUC